UAGGGAAUAUUGCUCAAUGGGGGAAACCCUGAAGCUGCAACGCCGCGUGGAGGAUGAAGGUUUUCGGAUUGUAAACUCCUUUUGUUAGAGAAGAUAAUGACGGUAUCUAACGAAUAAGCACCGGCUAACUCCGUGCC
This 137-nucleotide ribosomal RNA is filed under the name uncultured bacterium. RNAcentral describes it as "partial 16S ribosomal RNA". It matches the Rfam family "Bacterial small subunit ribosomal RNA", at positions 355 to 509 of the family's 1533-position model. The record is from RNAcentral.